AGUAACGCGUGGGUAACCUGCCUCAUACAGGGGGAUAACAGUUAGAAAUGACUGCUAAUACCGCAUAAGACCACAGUACUGCAUGGUACAGUGGUAAAAACUCCGGUGGUAUGAGAUGGACCCGCGUCUGAUUAGGUAGCUGGUGAGGUAACGGCCCACCAAGCCGACGAUCAGUAGCCGACCUGAGAGGGUGACCGGCCACAUUGGGACUGAGACACGGCCCAG
This 225-nucleotide ribosomal RNA is filed under the name uncultured bacterium. RNAcentral's name for it is "partial 16S ribosomal RNA". It matches the Rfam family "Bacterial small subunit ribosomal RNA", at positions 109 to 334 of the family's 1533-position model. The record is from RNAcentral.